AUUUUUCUUCAUUGGCUUUUUUCGGUACGUCUGUUGGAUGCGUAUAUUUUGAAGAGAGGGAAAAAAGGAUUCUUGAAUAAGACUUCAACAUGGCAUAUAAUCUAAAACAGUUCAUGAUUUUAUUGGGUAUUGGACAGCACCUAUAUUAACAAGGGUCAAGCCUGAAAUUAUACACUCAAGUCUAAAGGAGUAAGACUCUGUGUGAACCAAAAAGUAGGGUCAACGUUUUGAACGCCCACUGCCCACCCUGCCGGCUACCUGCUCAUCCUCAAGGUUCAACACCAAGUGCCACGUUGACUCACUUAGCUUUCCUGUUAACAGUUUUGCUGUGUGAGUUGUUUUUGUUUUUUUGUUUUUUUUGGGGUUUUUUUGGGUGGUUUUGUUUGGUUCCAUCAAUGGUUACUUCUUCAGAAAUUCUCAAAGGAAACUUCUAUCUGUUAUAAAAGACAAAGCCUAGCCAGUCCAAUGGUGCUGAAAAGACUGUCAGCAGUUCACUUUCCCACAGUUGUACUUUGUGAGAAGCCACCACAGGUUAACCUUUAGCAAAUGCCAACUAAAAAAAAAAUGAAGCAUUUAUUGUCUAAAGAAAGAAAUACAGUUGAUUUCAAUUUGGAAAGUACUGUUUGGAAUAGAAAUGUAUGUUCUCAUCUUUUUUUCAUGAAGCUUACUUUCUAUUUCCCCAGCCCACAAAGGAGAGCAAUUUAAACUCUACCACCACCUGAGGCCUGCACUCUGCUCCCCCCUUCAUCAGUUUUUGUAUUAAUGGAGUUGCUUUAAUGUCGUGUUUUGGAGCCCUGUUCCAUUUAAAUUGUUGAUUAAAAAGAAAAUGACAUUUAGUAAAGAAAAAGCCAAUGUGACCUUUCCACGGUGGCUUGCCUUAAAAGAAUUUUUUCCAGAUAGUGAGGUUACAACAUCACCGUGCUGAUAUAGAAACGAUUUUUUACUAUUCAAUUCAUUCAGCCUGAAUUCUUCUCCAUUUGUAUAGAGGCCCUGGAUUCAGAUAUAAGAUCCUUGUUUCAUGUUUUUGUCCCAUGUUACCAAUGUGUGACUUCAUUCAACUUUUUAUGCAUGCACUGAAAAAUGUUUAAUAAAAUGCCCACUAAGGCUA
Molecule: long non-coding RNA, 1108 nt
Organism: Felis catus (domestic cat)
Lineage: Eukaryota; Metazoa; Chordata; Mammalia; Carnivora; Felidae
Exons: 2
Source: RefSeq, a predicted model, not a curated record